This 484-nucleotide ribosomal RNA is filed under the name uncultured bacterium. Its description in RNAcentral is "partial 16S ribosomal RNA". It matches the Rfam family "Bacterial small subunit ribosomal RNA", at positions 30 to 507 of the family's 1533-position model. The record is from RNAcentral.
AUUGAACGCUGGCGGCAUGCCUAACACAUGCAAGUCGAACGGAUGAAGCGAGCUUGCUCCUGGAUUCAGCGGCGGACGGGUGGGUAAUGCCUAGGAAUCUGCCUGGUAGUGGGGGAUAACGUCCGGAAACGGGCGCUAAUACCGCAUACGUCCUGAGGGCGACAGUGGGGGAUCUUCGGACCUCACGCUAUCAUAUGAGCCUAGGUCGGAUUCGCUAGUUGGUGGGGUAAAGGCCUACCAAGGCGACGAUCCGUAACUGGUCUGAGAGGAGGAUCCGUCACACUGGAAUGGAGACACGGUCCAGAAUCCUACGGGAGACAGCAGUGGGGAAUAUUGGACAAUGGGCGAAAGCCUGAUCCAGGCAUGCCGCGCGUGUGAAGAAGGUCGUCGGAUUGUAAAGGACUUGAAGUUGGUAGGAAGGGCAGUAAGUUUUUACCUUGCUGUUUUGACGUUACCAGCAGAAUAAGCCCCGGCUAACUUCGUG